AUGGUCCAUUGAUCCUCAACUACAUUCAAAAAACAUUAGGAAGAAAAUACAGAUAUACCUAUAUUUACAUUUUUUAAGGACGGCGUUUCAAUAAGUUUGGUAAUCUUGUAAAAUGGUGGAGCAAUAGUUCCAUUUCAAAAUUCAAAAACAAAACAGAAUGCCUCGUCAAACAGUACUCAAAAUAUAAAUUCUUUGGAGAAAAUAUAAAAGGAAAGCAAACGCUAGGUGAAAAUAUAGCUGACAAUGGCGGGCUGAAGCAGGCGUUUCAGGCUUAUCAAUUGCACAAAAACAAACUGCCAGUGCUACCAGGAAUAAAUGUAACCAACGAUCAAUUGUUUUUCAUUGGAUAUGGACAGGUCUGGUGCGGAAAAUUUCGACGACAAACAGCAAUACUCCAAGUUGAAAACGGCGUUCAUACCCCAGGCAAAUACAGAGUUAUAGGUACGUUAUCAAAUUCCCACUACUUUGCCAAAGCGUUCAAUUGUCCUGAAGGAAGUAAAAUGAAUCCAAAAAACAAAUGCGCUGUCUGGUAGGAAGGAAAAGAUUUCACAGAAAAGACUGUUCGCCUACGCCAUGCCAAUAUUAAAGAGCUAGUAGCUACUAUAGAUUACACUGCAUGUAUUUGGCAAUACCACAUAUUAUACCACACGCGCAAAUUUACAGUAAAUUUCUGUAACAAUUUUCUGCACUGAAUAGAAAGAAAAGAGGACACAACAAAUGCGGUUUUUUAAGUUUGACUGGUAGGAGUAUGAAACUAAAUACAUGAAGUGCCAAAAGCAAUAUUUCUUUAAUAUUUGAGCCUUUUGAAUUUUAAAAAGAAAACGCUUUCUUUUCACUUUUUGCUAGUAGAAAAUCCAAAAUCUUAGAAGCGUAAUUCCAAUUUUGAAGCAUUGUUUAAACAUAGUAUAACAACAUUCCAGAGUCAAACGGAAACAGCCGUAUUAUGUACAAUAAAAUAUGACUAAAGUCACUAUGUGGAUUUGAUAAAUCUAACAAUAUUAUUUGAUGUAGUGCAACAGAAAAUAUGACCGUUCCUUGUAUUGUAUAUAUAUGAUUCACGCCUUAGAGCAAAUGAUGUAAUUUAAAAUUUUAUUAUAACUUAAGUAAAAACAUGUAUAUCAAGA
Xenia sp. Carnegie-2017 is the source of this 1124-nucleotide long non-coding RNA. RefSeq lists it as uncharacterized. The record is from RefSeq and is a predicted model, not a curated record. Lineage: Eukaryota; Metazoa; Cnidaria; Anthozoa; Malacalcyonacea; Xeniidae. The transcript has 5 exons.